CUGACGCUAAUACCUGAUGAGGCAUUAAUGUCAAAGAUUUUAUCGGAAAAGGAUGAGUCUGCGUCUGAUUAGCUAGUUGGUAAGGUAAUGGCUUACCAAGGCUACGAUCAGUAGCUGGUUUGAGAGGAUGAUCAGCCACACUGGAACUGAGACACGGUCCAGACUCCUACGGGAGGCAGCAGUGAGGAAUUUUGGGCAAUGGGGGCAACCCUGACCCAGCGACGCCGCGUGCAGGAUGACGGCCCUUCGGGUUGUAAACUGCUUUCGGGUGAGAAGAAAAGCCGGUUUAACCGGCUGGGACUGUACCACCAGAAGAAGCACCGGCUAACUACGUGCCAGCAGCCGCGGUAAUACGUAGGGUGCAAGCGUUAUCCGGAAUCACUGGGUGUAAAGGGUGUGUAGGCGGAUUUGUGCGUCAGAGGUUAAAUAUCCAGGCUCAACUUGGAAAAUGCCUUUGAUACGGCAAAUCUUGAGUAUAAG
RNAcentral lists this ribosomal RNA (480 nucleotides) under uncultured bacterium. RNAcentral describes it as "bacterial SSU rRNA". It matches the Rfam family "Bacterial small subunit ribosomal RNA", at positions 157 to 652 of the family's 1533-position model. The record is from RNAcentral.